UACGUAGGGACCAAGCGUUGUUCGGAUUUACUGGGCGUAAAGGGCGCGUAGGCGGCGCGGUAAGUCACUUGUGAAAUCUCUGAGCUUAACUCAGAACGGCCAAGUGAUACUGCAGUGCUAGAGUGUGGAAGGGGCAAUCGGAAUUCUUGGUGUAGCGGUGAAAUGCGUAGAUAUCGAGAGGAACACCUGCGGCGAAGGCGGGUUGCUGGGCCGACACUGACGCUGAUGCGCGAAAGCCAGGGGAGCGAACGGG
RNAcentral lists this ribosomal RNA (253 nucleotides) under uncultured bacterium. RNAcentral describes it as "partial 16S ribosomal RNA". It matches the Rfam family "Bacterial small subunit ribosomal RNA", at positions 524 to 776 of the family's 1533-position model. The record is from RNAcentral.